AUCCAUGGGGAAUCCUCCAAAUUCAAACAAGUAGUUAAAAUCCUAUCUUUUGGUUUCUCUUAUUACAAAGCAUUUCAUGAUCGUCAAAUAAGAUUCAGUUAUGUUCGUUAUUUCGUUCUUUAUCUUCAUCUGGAACAUGCAACAUAGGGACACAAGAUCUUAUUUUCCUUCCUCUUCAAAACAAGAAUGUCAUCCAAUUCUCAUCCACACCAAAGAGUAGGUUCAAUCUGUCGCUACUUAUUGAACGUGACUAGAUGCUAAGGUGAGAAAGAUGUGAUUGAUUGAAACACCUAAGUGAUGCAUCAGGAUAAGAAACAUUUUUACUCGAAACCUCUAUCACUGAAUUACUAACUUCAAGAUGAUUGCAUGAUAGUUUUAACAGCUAUAAUUC
Molecule: long non-coding RNA, 391 nt
Filed under: Phoenix dactylifera (date palm)
Lineage: Eukaryota; Viridiplantae; Streptophyta; Magnoliopsida; Arecales; Arecaceae
Description: long non-coding RNA (PDAC_LNC013298)
Source: RNAcentral